CCCCUCCCUCUCUCUCCAGUGCUUUACACUGCAGCAGACUUUAUUAUAGUUUUCAAUGCUCUUCCCUUUGAGGUUCAGCGUGGCUGGACUAUCAUUGCCCUGCCAGACGUAUUUGGGUUGACAUUUUAGUUAAAGGGAGGUUUCUUGCCAGUUUAUUGUGUCUUGUUAUUUGAACUGUAUUGAUGUGGUACUAAUGACAUGUGGCCCAGAAGAUUGUGGACAUUUUAAGGCCUUUGUUUGUCUAUGACCCCCCACCAUUCAUACCCUCUGCACUCCUCCACUGGGAGGUAAUACAGAUUACUGAAAAUCCUCUCAUGUUGAUGACUGGGUUCUUUCUUGUAUAUUAUUUCUAUGAAGUUGCCGUUAAAUUGCUCUGCCAUCAUUAUUGUAUGAGGUAUUAUUGGUGGGGUUCCCCCUGUGCUGUGAUGGGUGUUUUAUAUGGUGA
This is a long non-coding RNA of Oncorhynchus tshawytscha (Chinook salmon), 445 nucleotides long. NCBI's taxonomy places the organism in Eukaryota, Metazoa, Chordata, Actinopteri, Salmoniformes, Salmonidae. The record is from Ensembl.